GUGCCCUGUUAUGAUUCUGUUUUUUCUAGGUGGGUGCCAUUGCAUUUGGUUCAAACUCUGGUUUAUGUUUUCCAUUUGUGUAUUUCAAAUUCGCCUCUGCUACUGGUUGCGCAAACGCUUGUGGAGCUUUAGAGUGGUUGUGAAGGUCUAUUCUCUCUUUCCAUGCAUUGUUUUCUCACUGAGGAGGAACUCUUAAACACAUCUUCUAUUUAUCAGGCAUGGAGUGAAUUUUGAUUUUCAAGCGAUAUCAUGCUGCAGUUCAUUAGAGGAUUUUUUUUACUUCCCUACCAAGAUGUGAUCUUGACUUGUAUAAGCAAUCAAGAGGUCUUGACGAUCCUGAUCUUCUAUCCAGGGAGACUGUGUAUGUUUUUAAUUCUCUUUUCUUUUCUUUGUGGAUUGUGUACCUCUGAACUUUGUUAAAUGAUGCUAGUUUUCCAUGAUAUGCAGUCAGUGUAAGUGAAAUGGAAGCACUAUAUGAGCUUUUCAAGAAGAGAAGCAGCGCCGUGAUUGAUGAUGGUCUGAUCAACAAGCAAGGUGUUAAAGAGAGACGAGGUAAAGCUUUGUUCCCUGUGCUGAAGUUGUUGAGGAAGCUGAUACAAAACAUGAGGGAAGGAUUGACAAGGAAAAGUGGAGAAACCUUGUUAUGCCACAUCCAUCUCUCUUAAAGAACAUGAAUCACGGACAUCACCACGACUUUCCCGAGCGAUGUUGCCUGAGGUUGUGUUCAUCAUCUGCAGUUGAAGUGUCUACUAUUUGAUCACGGUUUGCACAAUUGAUGUAUGUAGGCCAUUUCUUGGAG
This is an RNA transcript of Cucurbita maxima (winter squash), 799 nucleotides long. RefSeq lists it as uncharacterized. The transcript is spliced from 4 exons. NCBI's taxonomy places the organism in Eukaryota, Viridiplantae, Streptophyta, Magnoliopsida, Cucurbitales, Cucurbitaceae. The record is from RefSeq and is a predicted model, not a curated record.